Molecule: ribosomal RNA, 460 nt
Filed under: uncultured bacterium
Lineage: Bacteria
Description: partial 16S ribosomal RNA
Rfam family: Bacterial small subunit ribosomal RNA
Source: RNAcentral
CCUACGGGGGACAGCAGUGAGGAAUAUUGGUCAAUGGACGAGAGUCUGAACCAGCCAAGUAGCGUGAAGGAUGAAUGCCCUAUGGGUUGUAAACUUCUUUUAUAAAGGAAUAAAACGAGGCACGUGUGCCUUUUUGCAUGUACUUUAUGAAUAAGGAUCGGCUAACUCCGUACCAGCAGCCGCGGUAAUACGGAGGAGCCGAGCGUUAUCCGGAUUUAUUGGGUUUAAAGGGAGCGUAGAUGGGGUGUUAAGUCAGUUGUGAAAGUUUGCGGCUCAACCGUAAAAUUGCAAUUGAUACUGGCAGGCUGGAGUACAGUUGAGGUAGGCGGAAUUCGUGGUGUAGCGGUGAAAUGCGUAGAUAUCACGAAGAACACCGAUUGCGAAGGCAGCUUACUAAACUGUGACUGACAUUGAUGCUCGAAAGUGUGGGUAUCAAACAGGAUUAGAUACCCGUGUAGUC